UUCUGAUAAGCUAGUUGGUGGGGUAAUGGCCACCAAGGCGACGAUCAGUAGCUGGUCUGAGGAGGAUGAUCAGCCACACUGGGACUGAGACACGGCCCAGACUCCUACGGGAGGCAGCAGUGAGGAAUUUUCCGCAAUGGGCGAAAGCCUGACGGAGCAAUACCGCGUGAGGGAGGAAGGUUCUUGGGUUGUAAACCUCAAAACUUAGGGAAGAAGAAAGUGACGGUACCUAAUAUAAGCAUCGGCUAACUCCGUGCCAGCAGCCGCGGUAAUACGGAGGAUGCAAGCGUUAUCCGGAAUCAUUGGGCGUAAAGAGUCUGUAGGUGGCAUUUAAAGUCUGCUGUCAAAGACCGAAGCUCAACUUCGGGCAGGCGGUGGAAACUGAAAAGCUAGAGUAUAGUAGGGGUAGAGGGAAUUCCUAGUGUAGCGGUGAAAUGCGUAGAGAUUAGGAAGAACACCAGUGGCGAAGGCGCUCUACUGGACAUAUACUGACACUGAGAGACGAAAGCUAGGGUAGCGAAAGGGAUUAGAUACCCCUGUAGUCCUAGCGGUAAACGAUGGAUACUAGGUGUAGUCUGUAUCGACCCAGACUGUGCCGAAGCAAACGCGUUAAGUAUCCCGCCUGGGGAGUACGCACGCAAGUGUGAAACUCAAAGGAAUUGACGGGGACCCGCACAAGCGGUGGAGUAUGUGGUUUAAUUCGAUGCAACGCGAAGAACCUUACCAAGGCUUGACAUCCUGCGAAUUUUGGGGAAACUCAGAAGUGCCUUAGGGAACGCAGAGACAGGUGGUGCAUGGCUGUCGUCAGCUCGUGUCGUGAGAUGUUGGGUUAAGUCCCGCAACGAGCGCAACCCUCGUCCUUAGUUGCCAGCAUUAAGUUGGGGACUCUAGGGAGACCGCCGGGGAGAACUCGGAGGAAGGUGGGGAUGACGUCAAGUCAGCAUGCCCCUUACGUCUUGGGCUACACACGUACUACAAUGGUUGAGACAAAGGGAAGCGAAGCCGCGAGGUGAAGCGAAUCCCAGCAAACUCAGCCCCAGUUCAGAUUGCAGGCUGAAACUCGCCUGCAUGAAGGAGGAAUCGCUAGUAAUCGCAGGUCAGCAUACUGCGGUGAAUCCGUUCCCG
RNAcentral lists this ribosomal RNA (1125 nucleotides) under uncultured cyanobacterium. RNAcentral describes it as "bacterial SSU rRNA". It matches the Rfam family "Bacterial small subunit ribosomal RNA", at positions 235 to 1376 of the family's 1533-position model. Lineage: Bacteria; Bacillati; Cyanobacteriota. The record is from RNAcentral.